RNAcentral lists this ribosomal RNA (1355 nucleotides) under uncultured bacterium. RNAcentral's name for it is "bacterial SSU rRNA". It matches the Rfam family "Bacterial small subunit ribosomal RNA", at positions 28 to 1381 of the family's 1533-position model. The record is from RNAcentral.
AUUGAACGCUUGCGGCAGGCUUAACACAUGCAAGUCGAACGAUGAAACUCUAGCUUGCUAGAGAAGAUUAGUGGCGGACGGGUGAGUAACAUUUAGGAAUCUGCCUAGUAGUGGGGGAUAGCUCGGGGAAACUCGAAUUAAUACCGCAUACGACCUACGGGUGAAAGGGGGCGCAAGCUCUUGCUAUUAGAUGAGCCUAAAUCAGAUUAGCUAGUUGGUGGGGUAAAGGCCCACCAAGGCGACGAUCUGUAACUGGUCUGAGAGGAUGAUCAGUCACACCGGAACUGAGACACGGUCCGGACUCCUACGGGAGGCAGCAGUGGGGAAUAUUGGACAAUGGGGGCAACCCUGAUCCAGCCAUGCCGCGUGUGUGAAGAAGGCCUUUUGGUUGUAAAGCACUUUAAGCAGGGAGGAGAGGCUAAUGGUUAAUACCCAUUAGAUUAGACGUUACCUGCAGAAUAAGCACCGGCUAACUCUGUGCCAGCAGCCGCGGUAAUACAGAGGGUGCGAGCGUUAAUCGGAAUUACUGGGCGUAAAGCGAGUGUAGGUGGCUCAUUAAGUCACAUGUGAAAUCCCCGGGCUUAACCUGGGAACUGCAUGUGAUACUGGUGGUGCUAGAAUAUGUGAGAGGGAAGUAGAAUUCCAGGUGUAGCGGUGAAAUGCGUAGAGAUCUGGAGGAAUACCGAUGGCGAAGGCAGCUUCCUGGCAUAAUAUUGACACUGAGAUUCGAAAGCGUGGGUAGCAAACAGGAUUAGAUACCCUGGUAGUCCACGCCGUAAACGAUGUCUACUAGCCGUUGGGGUCCUUGAGACUUUAGUGGCGCAGUUAACGCGAUAAGUAGACCGCCUGGGGAGUACGGCCGCAAGGUUAAAACUCAAAUGAAUUGACGGGGGCCCGCACAAGCGGUGGAGCAUGUGGUUUAAUUCGAUGCAACGCGAAGAACCUUACUUGGUCUUGACAUAGUGAGAAUCCUGCAGAGAUGCGGGAGUGCCUUCGGGAAUUCACAUACAGGUGCUGCAUGGCUGUCGUCAGCUCGUGUCGUGAGAUGUUGGGUUAAGUCCCGCAACGAGCGCAACCCUUUUCCUUACUUGCCAGCGGGUUAAGCCGGGAACUUUAAGGAUACUGCCAGUGACAAACUGGAGGAAGGCGGGGACGACGUCAAGUCAUCAUGGCCCUUACGACCAGGGCUACACACGUGCUACAAUGGUAGGUACAGAGGGUUGCUACACAGCGAUGUGAUGCUAAUCUCAAAAAGCCUAUCGUAGUCCGGAUUGGAGUCUGCAACUCGACUCCAUGAAGUCGGAAUCGCUAGUAAUCGCAGAUCAGAAUGCUGCGGUGAAUACGUUCCCGGGCCU